This 465-nucleotide ribosomal RNA is filed under the name uncultured bacterium. RNAcentral describes it as "bacterial SSU rRNA". It matches the Rfam family "Bacterial small subunit ribosomal RNA", at positions 338 to 795 of the family's 1533-position model. The record is from RNAcentral.
CCUANGGGAGGCAGCAGUGGGGAAUAUUGGACAAUGGGGGAAACCCUGAUCCAGCGACGCCGCGUGGGUGAAGAAGGCCUGCGGGUUGUAAAGCCCUUUCGGUAGGGACGAAAGCUCUUGCUCUAACAAAGCAGGAGGUUGACUUAACCUACAUAAGAAGCACCGGCUAACUCUGUGCCAGCAGCCGCGGUAAUACAGAGGGUGCGAGCGUUAAUCGGAAUUACUGGGCGUAAAGCGCACGUAGUCGGCUUGUCAAGUCGGGUGUGAAAUCCCCGGGCUCAACCUGGGAACUGCAUCCGAAACUGACUUGCUAGAGUAUGGGAGAGGGAGGCGGAAUUUCUGGUGUAGCAGUGAAAUGCGUAGAUAUCAGAAGGAACAUCAGUGGCGAAGGCGGCCUCCUGGACCAAUACUGACGAUCAGGUGCGAAAGCGUGGGGAGCAAACAGGAUUAGAUACCCUANUANUC